UUUUGUAUGUGGUUCAUAUUUCAGGGGUCCCGGAAGAGUUGUUUGAGGUUUCUGUUUGGCCAAAUCAGGCCCUGGUGGAGUUUGGACAGUCCCUAGUGGUCAACUGCAGCACUACUUGCCCAGACCCAGGACCCAGUGGAAUUGAGACCUUCUUAAAGAAAACUCAGGUGGGCAAAGGGCCUCAGUGGAAGGAGUUUCUUCUGGAGGAUGUCACAGAGAAUUCCAUCCUGCAGUGCUUCUUCUCUUGUGCAGGGAUUCAAAAGGACACAAGCCUUGGCAUCACUGUGUAUCAGCCACCAAAACAAGUGAUCCUGGAGCUGCAGCCUCCCUGGGUGGCCGUGGAUGAACCCUUCACAGUGAAGUGUCAUGUGCCCAGCGUAGCACCCUUGGAGAGUCUCACCCUUGCCCUUCUCCAGGGUAACCAAGAACUGCAUAGAAAGAACUUUAUGAGCUUGGCUGUGGCCUCCCAAAGAGCUGAGGUCAUCAUCAGUGUCAGAGCCCAAAAGGAGAAUGACAGGUGCAAUUUUUCCUGCCAUGCAGAACUGGACUUGAGUUUGCAAGGUGGGAGGCUCUUUCAAGGCAGCUCACCCAUCAAAAUAGUCCGGAUCUUUGAAUUCUCUCAGAGUCCCCACAUCUGGGUCUCUUCCCUUUUGGAGGUUGGGAUGGCGGAGACUGUGAGCUGCGAGGUGGCUAGGGUGUUUCCAGCCAAAGAAGUUAUGUUCCACAUGUUCCUGGAAGACCAAGAGCUGAGCUCCUUCCUUUCCUGGGAAGGGGACACAGCAUGGGCCAAUGCUACCAUUCGGGCCAUGGAGGCUGGUGAUCAGGAACUGUCUUGCCUUGCAUCUCUGGGUCCAAUGGAACAGAAAACAAGAAAGCUAGUGCAUAGCUACAGUAAGUGACCUGGCUCUUCCUUUUUCAUAUGGGUUCUCUGCUGCUGAAAACACAGAGUAACGGGUUGGUGAUUCGGCUGUAGAUAUCCCUGCUGCCCUUUGCUGGGUAUGCUCUCAAAUGAACAUGGGUCUUCAUCUUUCUCUGGCUUCCCUCCACCAAUCCUGGAGCUAAAAGAAUCAUACCCAUUGGCAGGGACCAACAUUAAUGUGACCUGCUCAGGGAACGUAUUAACAUCACCCAGCCCUACUCUUCGGCUUCAGGGAGCCCCAGACCUCCCUGCCCCUGGGGAGCCUGCCUGGCUUCUACUUACUGCCAGGGAGGAAGAUGAUGGCCGAAAUUUCUCCUGUGAGGCCUCUUUAGAGGUGCAGGGUCAGCGGUUGAUGAAAACCACUGUGAUCCAGCUCCAUGUCCUAUACAAGCCACGGUUAGAGGAAUCCAGUUGCCCUGGCAAACAGACCUGGCUGGAAGGGAUGGAACACACGCUCGCCUGCGUCCCAAAGGGAAACCCAGCUCCAGCCUUGGUGUGUACCUGGAAUGGGGUGGUCUUUGACCUUGAAGUGCCACAGAAGGCAACCCAGAACCACACUGGAACCUACUGCUGCACAGCCACUAACCAGCUGGGCUCUGUCAGCAAAGACAUUGCUGUCAUUGUUCAAGGACUGGAUGAAGGAAUCAGCUCUACCCUCUUUGUCAUUAUUACCGUUGCCCUUGGAGUGGGUGUCAUCACCAUAGCACUGUAUUUGAGUUAUCGGCCCUGCAAAGUGGACAGGAGGAAAUUGCUCUAUAGGCAGAAAGAGGAGGACAAAGAAGAGGAAAGCCAGUUUGCUGUUCAGGAAGAGAAAAGUGCAACUCAUAUAAUUGACAGCUAUUUGAUUGAGUGAGACUUCUGCUACUGUGGUUUCCCAGGGAGGGAAGAAGGGAUAGAGGAGAAAGGAAGAAACACAAUGGCAGGCUGCACUACCCUUUGUGUACGUCUGUCCUGUAAAACAGUGUUUCAGGCCCCCAUGCCCCAUGUCCUGUGUGUCCAAUAUGUCCACAAGCUCACCUUUCUCUCUCCCUCUCUCUUUUUUUUUUUUUUUUUUUUUGAGAUGGAGUCUCACUCUUGUCGCCUAGGCUGGAGUGCAAUGAUGUGAUCUCGGCUCACUGCAACUUCAGUUUCCCGGGUUCAGGCGAUUCUCCUGCCUCAGCCUCCCCAGUAGCUGAGAUUACAGGUGCACACCACAACUCCUGUCUAAUUUUUGUAUUUUUCGUAGAGAUGGGGUUUCACCAUGUUGGCCAGGCUGGUCUCAAACUCCUGACCUCAAGUGAUCCGCCCACCUCGGCCUCCCAAAAUGCUGGGAUUACAGGUGAGAGCCACUGCGCCCAGCCGCCUUUCUCUUUAGAGCUCACUCUAGUCAUUAGGAAUCUCAGUCUCAAUGUUUGAUUUGUAAGAAGGCCUCUUGCGCCUUGCCAGGUGCUUCAUCAGUCCACUCUUAGAUCCAAAAAAAAAGAAAAGAUCUUGCCGUUUCUUCAUGAUUCUCACUGCCCUUUUCUCUUAAACAUCAUACUAAAUAAAGUCAGGCACAUCUUAGAAAUACAACUCAUAUUUCAUGGUUUUCUGAUUACUAACUGGGAACUAAAUCUGUAGUCCAGGGACAGGACUUUGAAGGGAGUAAGUAUCAAAUAUGGGGCUAGAAAUCAGAGCUCUGUUCCCAUCUCCACUUUCCCUUGCUCUCCUGACCUGGGCUUCUGGAGUGCCAGCUCCCAGAGCUGGGCUUGUUGACAUCAUUAAAGAUCAGCGGCAAGCUCCAACUCAGUAACCAUCUGUUGUGGGUCUUGGGAGAGUAUACAGAUGGUAAGAAAUUCCACUUCGGGCCAGACAAGCAUCCUAUCUAGCCCAGUGUUCUGUCUCUGAAGUAGAAGGUAGAGUUCUUCCAUGAAAUUGGCCUCAUAGGUUAAGAGUUCCAAACAUCUCCGAAUUCCUUUUCAUAGAGUGAUCAACUGUGAGUUCGCAUUUGCCAGUUUUCUUUUUUUUACCUAUAUGGGCGUCUAGGUUAGAGUUGCAAUGUUUACUCUCCCUUUUCAUCAAUAAGGACAUAUUUUCAUCUAUCUGUAAACAAUUUCCUUGAAGCUUCAAGAGGAAUCCUCUUGUGAAAAUGUUCAUAUGAUUUUAUGAUUCUGCUUCCUUCCCUGUCUUUGGGAAGGAGUAUAUUCACCCUCGGAGAAGGCAUGAGGAAUCAUAAAACCAGAUCUUUUCUCCCAAAUCAGUCAAGAAAUGUUCACUGGAAUGUUCCUAUGGUAAAAAUAAAAGUGAUUUUAUGAUAUCCA
This 3198-nucleotide small RNA is filed under the name Pongo abelii (Sumatran orangutan). Its description in RNAcentral is "processed transcript". Lineage: Eukaryota; Metazoa; Chordata; Mammalia; Primates; Hominidae. The record is from RNAcentral.